Molecule: ribosomal RNA, 241 nt
Filed under: uncultured bacterium
Lineage: Bacteria
Description: partial 16S ribosomal RNA
Rfam family: Bacterial small subunit ribosomal RNA
Source: RNAcentral
CGUGGGUAACCUGCCUUAUAGUGGGGGAGUAGCCUUUCAAAGGAAGAUUAAUACCGCAUAAGAUUGUAGUAUCGCAUGAUAUAGCAAUUAAAGGAGCAAUCCGCUAUAAGAUGGACCCGCGUCGCAUUAGCUAGUUGGUGAGGUAAUGGCUCACCAAGGCGACGAUGCGUAGCCGACCUGAGAGGGUGAUCGGCCACAUUGGGACUGAGACACGGCCCAGACUCCUACGGGAGGCAGCAUG